UUUGUUGUUUUUUGGGGGGUUUUGUUUGGGUUCUUUGGGAUGGAUUGGUGGGUUUUUUGGGGGGGGGGUUGCUGUUGUAUGGUUUUGUGGUUUUUUUUUGUUUUGUUGGGGUUUUUUGUUUGUUUGUUUGUUUUUUGGGUUUUUUUUCCCCUUGUUGAGAAUUCUUUCUGCUGAGACCUCAGGCAAUGUUGGAGCAGUGACCUCAGGGGCAGGAAAUCAAUCAUCCCACUGAAGAAGCAUUCCCAGAGCUUCAGUGGAUGCAGGAAUGUCCAUCCCUGUUGACUAUGGAGGCACAGGAGAUGGGAUAUCCCAACAUCCUGGGCUCCAGCUCUGCCUGAUCACCACACCCUGCCCUUGGAUCUGAGCCCUCCAGCUUUUUUCCCAGAAUAAGGGAGCCAUUCAUCUCGAGCUGAUUUGCAAGGAUAAACUGGAGUGGGAGAACAGCAGUGACUCAGCUCAGCGUUCCUGGGGCAUGGUGAGGCCCUGGCACAGGUUUCCCUGAGGAGCUGUGGCUGCCUCAUCCCUGGAAAUAUCCAAGGCUGAAUUGGACAGGGCUUGGAGCAGCCUGGGAUAGUGGAAGGUGUCCCUGCCUGUGGCAGGGAGUUGGAAUCAGGGGACAAAGGAAGAGUGAGCACAGUAAGAGCAGAGGGGCCAGGUCAUCCUGGAGCAAAACCUGAGUGGGCUUGGAAGUUUUGUUACUUCUGAGGGGCUCUGAGGCAGCAAGAUCCUCAGUUGCCUGCUCAGUAAUUGUGGAGCUGCUCUGCUUCCUUCAGAUGGAAUGGAUAAUCCUUCCCAACUCCAAGCACCUUGUUCCAGACCUUUCCCCCUGCCAUGAGUGGAGAGGAGACAUGUGGCUCCUGCUUGAGGAAAGCAGAAGAGGCAUUUCCAUCCUGAAGGCAAUGGCUGGAAGGGCUGCCUGGGCUCUGACCUGCUGCAGUGUUUCUUCUCUGCUGAUUGACUCAUUUCCUGGAAAUCUCUGAGCCAACACAGCCUUCCUGGCGCUGUGGAUUCAAGACUAUUGUGUGGUGGAAAUGUGUUUUACCUGAAGGUGUUCUUCACCACCAGCCUUGGAAAACAGGGGAAAAUCGUGGUGCUCAACGUGUCUGGGAACUCCGAGGAGCCAUAGGAUUCUCUACAUGGAUACCAGCGAGUGAUUCCAGGUGACCCUGGGCCAUGAUGCCAGGAGGGAUUUGGGCUUGGAGCAGACCUGGAGGAUGUCAUGUUCCCCUUUGGAUGGCCAGAAAACCCCAGCAGACCACAGGUUUGCCACCAGGUCUGCUGGUGAAGAAGGAAGCUUUCAAACCAUGGAAGCCUAGAAAACAGAAGGAAACAAACACCUGGGACCAAUUAAAACAUCUCCAGCAAGCCACCAGGGUUUGGGGACAUUCCCAAUGCUGCAGUGCAUGUGGCUGGCAGGAUCAAAACUCCAAACCACAGCUCCCACCAUGGCCUCUGCCACAGUCAGGCUUAGGGACCACAGAAUCCCAGAAUGGUUUGGGGUGGAAGAGACUUAAAGCCCAUCUUAUUCCACCCCCUGCCAUGGCAAGGAUGCCUCCCACUGUCCAAGGGUGCUCUAAGUCCUGUCCAGCCUGGCUUUGGACACUGCCGAGGAUUCAGGGGCAGCCACAGUUCCUCUGGGCACCUGUGCCAGGGCCUGCCCACCCUCCCAGGGAAGAUUUCUUCCCAAUCCAUCCCUGCCCUCUGGCAGUGGGAGCCAUUCCCUGUGUCCUGUCCCUCCAUCCCUUGUCCCCAGUCCCUCUCCAGCUCUCCUGGAGCCCCUUCAGGCCCUGGAAGGGGUUUUGGGGUCUCCUUGGAGCCUUCCCCUCUCCAGGUGAGCCCCCCCAGCUCUGCCAGCCUGGCUCCAGCCCUUGAGCAUCCCCAUGGACUCUCUCCAUGUCCUUCCUGUGCACUUGUUCUCCCUUCAAGCCAAUGCUGGUGCCUGAGCUGUGCUUUUCCUGCUGCAUGUCCAGCUGGCCUCUCCUGGCCUGGCCAUGGCUCCACUGCCACCAGUGUCCCCUGCCAGGUGCCUUUGCACAGCUCUGACUCCCCAGCAGGUUUCCUCACGCACCCUCUCCACACCCAGCUCUCCCUCUUUGCAUUAUUAACUCCCACAGCAUGCAGCUCCUCUCCCACAGAGUCUGUCUUUUCCCUCUGCCUUCCCCCAGCUCCACAGGCUCCCCUGUAAUUAUUGCAGCCACCACUGGCCCAGCCAGUGGCACAGAAAGCCACCGAGCCCUUGGCAGGCCCAUGCAGUCCACGUCGGCAGGGUGUGGAUUCACAGAGGUCUCACAGACAAAUUUUACGGAAAAUCCUUUUGCCAGCAUCUUUUCUCCUGAGAAGCUUCAGCUUCUCCAUGUUUUGCUGCUUUGGAAUGUGAUUUGGGGAAUUGUUUACCCAGCAUGUGAAAUUGUUUUUACUUGAUGACCAAUGACAGUCACCUGUGUCAAGGCUGUGAGAGGUCACAAGAUUUUAUUAUCAUUCCUUUCUAUUCCUUGCUAGCCUUCUGAUGAAAUAAUUUCUUCUAUUCUUUUACUC
Serinus canaria (Common canary) is the source of this 2535-nucleotide long non-coding RNA. RefSeq lists it as uncharacterized. The transcript is spliced from 8 exons. NCBI's taxonomy places the organism in Eukaryota, Metazoa, Chordata, Aves, Passeriformes, Fringillidae. The record is from RefSeq and is a predicted model, not a curated record.